GAUGAACGCUAGCGGGAGGCCUAAUACAUGCAAGUCGAGGGAGAAGGUUGGUGCUUGCACCGACUGGAAACCGGCGAACGGGUGAGUAACGCGUACAUACCUGCCUUUAAGUGGAGAAUAGCCCCGGGAAACUGGGAUUAAUGCUCCAUGUGAUUACAGACUUUAUUUGUAAUUAAAGCUCAGGCGCUUAAAGAUGGAUGUGCGUCCCAUUAGCUAGUUGGUAAGGUAACGGCUUACCAAGGCGACGAUGGGUAGGGGGCGUGAGAGCGUGAUCCCCCACACGGGUACUGAGACACGGACCCG
This 303-nucleotide ribosomal RNA is filed under the name uncultured bacterium. Its description in RNAcentral is "bacterial SSU rRNA". It matches the Rfam family "Bacterial small subunit ribosomal RNA", at positions 28 to 334 of the family's 1533-position model. The record is from RNAcentral.